RNAcentral lists this ribosomal RNA (1492 nucleotides) under uncultured prokaryote. Its description in RNAcentral is "partial 16S ribosomal RNA". It matches the Rfam family "Bacterial small subunit ribosomal RNA". The record is from RNAcentral.
AGAGUUUGAUCCUGGCUCAGAACGAACGCUGGCGGCGUGCCUAACACAUGCAAGUCGAGCGCGAAAGGGGGGGCAACUCCCUGAGUAGAGCGGCGCACGGGUGAGUAACGCGUGGGUAACCUACCUCCGGGCGGGGGAUAACCACUCGAAAGGGUGGCUAAUACCGCAUGAGACCACGGGGCUUUCGGGUCCUGGGGCCAAAGGCGGCACCGGGGGGAAAGAUUUAUCGCUGUUGGAGGGGCCCGCGUCGGAUUAGCUUGUUGGUGGGGUAAAAGCCUACCAAGGCGACGAUCCGUAGCUGGUCUGAGAGGAUGAUCAGCCACACUGGGACUGAGACACGGCCCAGACUCCUACGGGAGGCAGCAGUGGGGAAUAUUGGACAAUGGGCGCAAGCCUGAUCCAGCCAUGCCGCGUGGGUGAAGAAGGCCCUAGGGUUGUAAAUCCCUUUCAGCGGGGAAGAUAAUGACGGUACCCGCAGAAGAAGCCCCGGCUAACUCCGUGCCAGCAGCCGCGGUAAUACGGAGGGGGCUAGCGUUGUUCGGAAUUACUGGGCGUAAAGCGCGCGUAGGCGGACCUGCAAGUCGGGGGUGAAAGCCCGAGGCUCAACCUCGGAACUGCCUUCGAUACUGCGGGUCUCGAGUCCGGGAGAGGUGAGUGGAAUUCCUAGUGUAGAGGUGAAAUUCGUAGAUAUUAGGAAGAACACCAGUGGCGAAGGCGGCUCACUGGCCCGGUACUGACGCUGAGGCGCGAAAGCUGGGUAGCAAACAGGAUUAGAUACCCUGGUAGUCCACGCUGUAAACGAUGGGCACUAGGUGUCGGCGGUAUUAAUCCCGUCGGUGCUGGCGCUAACGCAGUAAGUGCCCCACCUGGGGAGUACGGUCGCAAGGCUGAAACUCAAAGAAAUUGACGGGGGCCCGCACAAGCGGUGGAGCAUGUGGUUUAAUUCGACGCAACGCGAAGAACCUUACCUGGGCUUGACAUGCACUAGAUCGGCAGUGAAAGCUGUCUUCUCUUCGGAGCUGGUGCACAGGUGCUGCAUGGCUGUCGUCAGCUCGUGUCGUGAGAUGUUGGGUUAAGUCCCGCAACGAGCGCAACCCUCGCCCUCUGUUGCUAACGGGUUAUGCCGUGCACUCUGAGGGGACUGCCGGUUAACGGGGAGGAAGGUGGGGAUGACGUCAAGUCCUCAUGGCCUUUAUGCCUAGGGCUACACGUGCCACAAUGGUCAGGACAAAGGGCUGCUACUUCGCAAGGAGACGCCAAUCCCAAAAACCUGGCCCCAGUUCGGAUGGUCGGCUGCAACUCGCCGGCUUGAAGCUGGAAUCGCUAGUAAUCGGAGAUCAGCACGCUCCGGUGAAUACGUUCCCGGGCCUUGUACACACCGCCCGUCACACCACGAAAGCUGCGUGUACCCGAAGUCGCUGAGCUAACCCGCAAGGGAGGCAGGUGCCGAAGGUAUGCGGGGUGAUUGGGGUGAAGUCGUAACAAGGUAGCC